Molecule: non-coding RNA, 54 nt
Organism: Salmo salar (Atlantic salmon)
Lineage: Eukaryota; Metazoa; Chordata; Actinopteri; Salmoniformes; Salmonidae
Source: Rfam
CUAAAACCCCAGCGUAAGUCGCUCUGGAUAAGAGCGUCUGCUAAAUGACUCAAA